Molecule: unclassified non-coding RNA, 510 nt
Filed under: Stoebe aethiopica
Lineage: Eukaryota; Viridiplantae; Streptophyta; Magnoliopsida; Asterales; Asteraceae
Description: partial external transcribed spacer
Source: RNAcentral
UUUUAGCUAUUUGGGGCUUGCCUGGCAUUUGAGCUUGGUGGGUUGCUUUUAUCUAGGUGGUUUCGGGGAUGUUUACCGUAUAGGUGCAUGAGUGGUGUUUGGUUUGUUACGGGUGGUUGGCUCUUUGCUUGCGCAACAACUUCCACCUGGCUUACCUCUUCAGUUUUGUGUCAAUGCUUGUAUUGCAUUGAAUUCAAUGCGGGUUUCUUGUGUUGCAUACCAAAUUGAUGGUAUCGUUUUGAUGAGUUGAUGCCCCUUUUUUGUCUUGUGUCGCACAUGCGAUGUGAGAUGAACCUUGAAGCACUCUUUGUGAUUCACUCUUUUGAUGUACAUGCAUUGAUGGUGUGGCUCUUUAAGUGUUGCUUGGUCUCAUGGAUAUAGAAGUUGGUGUGGGCAUGGGAUCUUAGUGUUUUUACUAGUUCCUUGUUUGCCUUGCUUUAGCUUCUCCAAUACGAUUUGACUAUCACGUAUGGCACGUCUCAGCGUGGUAGUCUAAUUCAAAGAUGAAUG